AGAGAGAGAGAGAAUAUUUUCUUAUCUGCAAUUGAUGUCACUGGAACCUUAUUGAAAUUGGCUAGUAGAUUCGAUGAGUCCACAUAAUUAUGACUCUUUUGGUAAUCAUUGAAUUUGUAUGGGUUAGUUAAAAUCUUAUUGGUUCAAGCUAUCUUGGUAGACUGGCUAUAAAUAUAUACAAUUAUAAAAGUAUUGUGAUAAAUGAUCAUGAGUCAUUUUAAAAUAUUUAAUGAUUUUCAUUCAUACGAUGCGAUAUUAUUCUAAAUUGCUACUAUAACGACAUUCAUUAUAUUGAUGUUAUAUUAUAAAUUGUUCUCUUUUAAUUUUCAUAUUGCAUGCCCCAUAUCUUAUGGUUUAUACUUAAUAAAUAAUAAUUAUCUAGUUCACAUGCCAAACUCAUUUGUGGUAGUUUUUUUUUAACAGAUUCUGCCAAGUUGCUUUAUAAACUAUCAUUGUAGGAGCUGACCUCUAGACAUUAGUUAUUUCAUUAAUUUGGUAUUUAUGUUAAGUUGUGAUUCUUUUUCAGACUUCUAUUUGGCUUUGGAUUGGCUAUUACUUUGUAGUUGGUUUUGGCUAUUAAUUUGUACUUUGUUUCUUUUAUUUUCUUUCAUUUGUUGAUUUUUUAUUUCCUUAUUGAGUUAUUGUUGAAGUCUAUGUUGAUGAAAUGAAAAAUUAUUUAUGUUCUUAUACGUAUGUUUACAUAAUUUUUGCUUACAAUUAUUCAUAUAUGAAACCUUUUUUUUUUCUUGAAUACAAAACAACUUUAUUUGAUCUUGACUAUUCAAGUAAUUACAUUAAUUUAAGACGAUCAUAAUUUUUUGUAUUGAUAUGUUAACGCCUUCUGAACUCAAGAUGUAAUUGAGUAAUCAAAGAGAUUUAUUUUCUAUUCAAUAUACAUUAUUUUAUUAGUAUAGCAUUUGGAGGAUGACUCUUUCAGGUUCUUUUUAAUUAUUAUUAUGGCCUCCUACCUUUUUUGCCUAUUUAUUUUAUUUUUUUUAUUUGGCUUUGUUUUAUUUGUGCAGAAUGGCACCCAGGAGAAAGUGUUGCUGUCUCUGGCACUAGUAGUGGCCCAAGAGCUAUUGGUGAAGUUAUAUGUAUUCUUAGCGUUCCUUGUUUAAUUUCACUGAAUAGCCACAAGCCAAUAGAAUUCAUUUCUCUGUUCAAAACAGCUGCAAGCACGCAGAAAUCCCUAUAGCAGGAUCGGCACAGUUCCGCAAGGGAGGAAUUUUACAUAAUUUUUUUGUAGCCAGUUCCUACACUAACUGCGGCACUGUAGCACAGUGAAUUCCUGUGCGGUGUAGUUUGGUAGCCGAGUUAUCACAAUGGGAUUUUCUUUGAAGAUUAGAGGAAUAUUCGGCACAUUCCAAGUGACAAAGGCUGAAGAAUCAGUGAUUUUGUGUGGUAUCUUGGAGCAAUGGAAAGAAAGAGUGGAAAAAAAGAAUAAUAGAAAGGAGAUGAAAGAGGAUUCUUUGGAUAUAUGCAUAGAGAAAGUUUCGAGGUAAAUGAUUAUAUGUAUUAAUUAGUUAUAUACAAUUUAUUUGAGUAAUAAAUUUAGCACUUAAAAGAAUUAGAUGGAUAACUUGUAGGUAACUUAUAAUCGCAGAAGAGUGCGAAGUAGAGAAUUGGAGUAGACGACUCGGCAAUGAGGUAAGUAAUGCAAUUUUUUAA
Long non-coding RNA from Dendrobium catenatum, 1668 nucleotides. RefSeq lists it as uncharacterized. The record is from RefSeq and is a predicted model, not a curated record. Lineage: Eukaryota; Viridiplantae; Streptophyta; Magnoliopsida; Asparagales; Orchidaceae. The transcript is spliced from 3 exons.